CCUACGGGGGGCAGCAGUGGGGGAUAGUGGACAAUGGGGGGAACCCUGAUCCAGCGACGCCGCGUGAGUGAAGAAGGAUUUCGGAAUGUAAAGCUCUGUCAGCAGGGAAGAAAGCAAUGACGGUACCGGACCAAGAAGCCCCGGCUAACUCCGUGCCAGCAGCCGCGGUAAUACGUCGGGGGCAAGCGUUAUCCGGAAUGACUGGGUGUAACGGGAGCGUAGACGGCGGUGCAAGGCUGGAGUGAAAGGCGGGGGCCCAACCCCCGGACUGCUCUGGAAACUGUAUGGCUGGAGUGCAGGCGAGGUCAGCGUAAUUCCUCGUGUAGCGGUGCAAUGCGUAGAUAUU
This 346-nucleotide ribosomal RNA is filed under the name uncultured bacterium. Its description in RNAcentral is "partial 16S ribosomal RNA". It matches the Rfam family "Bacterial small subunit ribosomal RNA", at positions 338 to 698 of the family's 1533-position model. The record is from RNAcentral.